UCAGAUUAGCUAGUUGGUGGGGUAAAGGCUCACCAAGGCGACGAUCUGUAGCGGGUCUGAGAGGAUGAUCCGCCACACUGGGACUGAGACACGGCCCAGACUCCUACGGGAGGCAGCAGUGGGGAAUUUUGGACAAUGGGCGCAAGCCUGAUCCAGCCAUGCCGCGUGCGGGACGAAGGCCUUCGGGUUGUAAACCGCUUUCAGCCGGAAAGAAAUCGCUGUUUCUAAUACCUUUGGUGGAUGACGGUACCGGAAGAAGAAGCACCGGCUAACUACGUGCCAGCAGCCGCGGUAAUACGUAGGGUGCGAGCGUUAAUCGGAAUUACUGGGCGUAAAGCGUGCGCAGGCGGUUUUGUAAGCCAGACGUGAAAUCCCCGGGCUUAACCUGGGAACU
Molecule: ribosomal RNA, 394 nt
Filed under: uncultured bacterium
Lineage: Bacteria
Description: bacterial SSU rRNA
Rfam family: Bacterial small subunit ribosomal RNA
Source: RNAcentral